Ananas comosus (pineapple) is the source of this 1494-nucleotide long non-coding RNA. RefSeq lists it as uncharacterized. The record is from RefSeq and is a predicted model, not a curated record. NCBI's taxonomy places the organism in Eukaryota, Viridiplantae, Streptophyta, Magnoliopsida, Poales, Bromeliaceae. The transcript is spliced from 2 exons.
UCCCCCCUCCAAAACCACCGCUUAAACCCUUCGUCGUCGUCCUCCUCCUCUUCCCCUACACCGUAAAAACCCUAGCGCCCAUAGCGCCUCCGCCUCCUCCCCGGCCGCGCCGACGCGGAGGGCAGCGGCGGCGGCGUCGCCGGCGAGGAGCGCUGCGAGCGCGACCUCCUCCUCCGCGGCGAUCGCGGCGGGGAGAGGCAGCGCGGGAGGACGAGGUCCGGGACGCCGCGGAAGAGGAGGAGGAGGGAAAUUGAGGGGGUAGAGAGAGAGGAGAGGUAGGCAUGUCCGAUAACGCGUAAUGGUUUUUGGGUUCGUGCUAUCUCGUUGCAAGGUAAAAUUUUGUAUUUUGAAAUUAAAUUUAAAUACAAAGCCAUUUCCACAAAAUUUAUCAUGAAAUUUGACCUAGUUACCAAAUUUUCAUUUUCUAUCAGUUGAUGUACGCUACUUCAUCUCUUUAUUAUUAAUAUUACAUGACGUUUGAACGGAGCAUUCAGUUAAACAAUAAUUGAGGUUUGAUGCAUCGGUGGUAAUGAUUUGAAUUUUUAUGCGUAAGAUGAAAUUUCGCAAUAUGGCUAGUUUGAAACUUUGAAUUUAAAUUUCGUCAUCAACAUGAUUUUUUUUUUGUUUUAUCCUUAAACAUGUUUGUUGAAAUGUUACGAUAACUCCCGUGAGAGUUGAAUGAGUGUGGUUCUGUUCCACUCUAUUUUUAACAAUACUAUAUCUAAAUUUUAAGUUUUAAACAUGUCUUGCUUGUUUAUUUCUUUCUUUGUUGUCGCAAACUGGUAUCUAUCACACAAUCUGAAGAAUUAAAUGGUAAUUUUGGUAGACAACCUGGUUUUAGCAGAAGCUAAUGUUCAAUGCAUUGAACCAUCAAUCGCAGCAGAUUACAAUUUUGUGACUUCAGUGAAAUUUUUGGGAGCUGAGCGAUCAAUACCGUUCAAAUGUUCGACGAAGUGAUUCCAUAUGUUUUAGGUGACUCUUUAAGUUUUCAAUCGAUACUGUUGUUCGAAAGUUAAGCAGCCAAACUAUUGGAGGCUCUAACGAGCAUCAGAAAACAAGCAAAGAGAAAAUCAAGAGACUACAUCUUGUUUUGUUGCUUGGAUAAAAAAUUUGAGGGAACCAAAGAAUAAGAGUGAACAACUCCCGCCAAAGUUCAUUUUCUUUCUUCUCAAAAGAAAAGGGGAGAAUAGUAACAACAGUAUCAAAUCUUUCUCUUUUUUCCUAUUUUUAUAGGUUCAAACGACAUAACAGAGAAUCAUUUUUCUCUCCUCUUUCUCCUUUUUUUUUCCUCCUUUUUUUUCCCUACUGUUUCCUCAUUCUUUUCUUCCAAACAGAGUGCAAAACUGAUUUUCCUCUGAAGAAACAAAACCUGAUGAAAAUUACAAGCACUCGACAUGAGGAAAAUGCAUAUUCACACUGUUAUCCAUCAACAGCAUCCAAGCCCUCUUAGUACCAUAACCAGUCCCCCAGAUAUGGCGUGAAAAAAAAAAAAAA